GCCACAACCAACCGGAAUCACGUAUCGUCAACUGGGAAAUCGUUCCAACGCGGAACGAUCUUCCCUGAGAUCUCGAGUCUACGAACCAUCAACCGGCGAGAUAACCUCUACCAUUCUGCCGACGCGGACACCUUUUGGACCACCAGUCAGCCGAUACGGAACUUCCGGAUGCAACAACCGAUUCCGGUCUGAACGAUCGCUAUCAUGAACAAGAAACGAGCGCGGCCUAUCCUUCCGCAAACGAUCCUCUGCUUUCGUUGAGUCUUCCGGCCAGCCGCUACAGGCUUAAUCGACCUAUGACGAUGAGAAUAAAAAAAUCGCAAUUCCGUUUCGAGUCAGC
RNAcentral lists this unclassified non-coding RNA (340 nucleotides) under Bombus terrestris (buff-tailed bumblebee). Its description in RNAcentral is "misc RNA ENSBTSG00005025629.1". Lineage: Eukaryota; Metazoa; Arthropoda; Insecta; Hymenoptera; Apidae. The record is from RNAcentral.